AAGUCGUAACAAGGUUUCCGUAGGUGAACCUGCGGAAGGAUCAUUACUGCUUGCUUACGGUCUCGCUUCGGGCAACCGAGCGGGAUCGGGCACGCUACCCUUGCUUAUGUAUACCUUUUGUUAUUCCCUCGGCGGGGAAACCUGCCGCUGGGAUCUUAUAAACCCUCUUGUAUUAUAGCAUCAAAAUUUCUGAAAACAAACAAAUAAUCACAACUUUUAACAAUGGAUCUCUUGGUUCUG
This 240-nucleotide unclassified non-coding RNA is filed under the name fungal sp. RNAcentral's name for it is "partial internal transcribed spacer region". The stretch from base 1 to 46 matches the Rfam family "Eukaryotic small subunit ribosomal RNA", at positions 1786 to 1831 of the family's 1831-position model. The record is from RNAcentral. RNAcentral also lists the same sequence under 2 other names. Lineage: Eukaryota; Fungi.